UUUCUUUCGGGUAAAACCAAAGAUAGAUCGUGUAACAAAACGUAUACAUACUACAACAGGUAGUACGUAAAAAAUAAAAUUCAUGCAAUUCCAUGUUCCUACUUUUAGUAGCUUCACUGACUAAAUUAUAAAAGAAAAAAAAAUGGAGAAGAGAUACUAUAUUCCUUUUAAAGGUAGACUAGUUUUACAUGUUCUAAACUUUCGUGUUGUGGCCAAUAGAAGCAAGAAAAAGAAAGAAAAAGAUAUAACACACUUGAGACAUGUUAUUAUUCUUUUAAUUACUCUAUAUAUUACAUUAAUUCGAUAUAGACCUACUUUAUUUAGUAAGUUUUACGAAUUUGACCUAAACUAAUAUAUUCGGGUUCAUGUCACAUAGCACUGAGACAAUAGUAUUAUGCUGACUAAUUGAAAACCAAUUUUUUUUUUUUUUUGGUUUGGAAUCAUUACAAAAAAAAAUCAUGAUUGAUAUAUGAUUUUCUUUUGCAAAUCCCAAUAAAAAUCAGCACCACUAACUCUUUAUAAUAAUCCUAGUACGAAGACUCGUGUCAUGUUCUCAAUGGUUUUGGGUAUAAUAAGUCAAACUAUACACAAAGUUUGGCGUUUG
RNAcentral lists this long non-coding RNA (604 nucleotides) under Capsella rubella. Its description in RNAcentral is "long non-coding RNA (CRUB_LNC003620)". The record is from RNAcentral. Lineage: Eukaryota; Viridiplantae; Streptophyta; Magnoliopsida; Brassicales; Brassicaceae.